UUUGAUUAUUAAAUGUCUUGAGGUAGUCUUAUUUGGGUUAAAUCUGCUUGUACUUAAGUACAAACUUCCUGUACUUAAAUAGUGAUAACUAUUUCUAGGCUUGAGAUGUUCUCUGCAAUUAUCCUUUUGAAUAAACUUUCUACCCUGAUCUCUCUCUCUCUCUUCUUUAAGGCCAGUAACUAUUAGAUUUGCCUUGUUGAGGUUUUUGUAGAUCUAGUAGGCAUGCCUUAUUCCUUUUUAUUCUUUGUCAUUUUGUCUCCUCUGACUGUGCAUUUUUAAAUAGUCAAUUUGAUUUUCCUUGGGAGGUGUGCUGGUCACUGACAUGCUCUAUUUGAAUAUCUUGUUUCCACACUAAAGAAUCUUUUUUUGUGUGUAUGCAAUCAUCCAAUUAGGAGUUGAGAAAAUGGGAAACUCAAUAGAUUUUUAUUGAACAAGGAAAGCAUCUCAUUACAUCCUAUUCAUCAUUAUUAUCAAUGUUUCUAAAUUAUUUGCAUAAUAUAAAAUAAUUAAAAAGUGGUAUUUCUGUGAGGCAGAAUUUUGGCUUUUAUUUGUCAAUAUCUGGCUGAGUGGUCAUAUACAAGUGACUCAGUUACCUUACCAUGCAACUAAAUACCCAUAGCUAUAAAAUGAAAGAACUGACAGUUCUCAAAUGGCCUUUUCAUGAUACUAUCAGUUGAAAUAAAUCCAAAUAUCACAUACAUGUUGCUUGCUUUGUAUGAACUACUCUUGGAGAUGUGGGGGAAAAUGUGACUUCAUGAGCCCUGCGAUGCUCCAGAAAUGGAGUUUAAGAAGUGAGAUGGAGACAAGAGCUUUAGUUGGUAGGAGCAGGAGACACAGUGAGAAGGUAAUCUAAGGCCUGAUUGUGGAAAGCAUUGAAUUCAAUUUUUUAAUUUUCUGUAAGCCAUGGGGAACCAUGCCACUUUUGAGCAGGUACAUUUCAUGAUUCAAACAUAGGUUGUGUGGAUGGGGAGAAACUGGAGAUAGCAGCAUAGGCCUGGAGGUUCAGGGACAGUCUAGGUACAAAGGGAGGAGCUCUUAUUUUAAGAGGAGACAGGGGUUCUGCAGAUUCAGGAGAUAUUUCAAUUGAGGCAUAAGUAGCAUUCAAUAAUAAUUAUAGCUUAAUUAGUGAAAUACACUCAGAACUCCUAAGAACAAGAAUAGAGAUGUAUGUGCAGAGAAAUAUUUCCUUGUUAAAACUUUGGAAACGCUGUUUGAAUCUAUCAUUUGGAAAUUCAGAAGGUUAUUGGAGGGAAUAAGCAUUGCGUUAUUUAUUUGGCUCUAUUAAUAUAUAUAGUGGGAGUUUUGUAAACAUGAAUUUAAAUAAUAAAAUAUGUUUGAUAGUGAAAAAUCUAUGUCAGGGUCGUUACUUUUCAUUGUCUUUGGUAAAAUAGUAUUGUUAUCGAUAAGGUAAUUUAACUGGUUCUUUCAUUUUUGAGUGCCUAACUUGUACCCAGUUGAAAAUUAAGAACCUGAUGCAAAUUAGAUGUCAGAAAAGCAAUAGCUUUUUAAUGUAUUCUCAAAUCAUAUGCUACAGUAACAAUGAUAAAGAACCUUACAUAGUAAGGCACUUAUUAGAUAGUGAAUUAAGAUUCAUUUUUAAAAUAAUAUUACCAUUAUAAAUUAUCCUCCUAUUUUAAAUUCUGGGCAUUCUACCAUAAUAAUUAGUAUGAAUUCAUGAUACAUUAAUAACCUCCUGCUUAAAACUUGGAUAUAUUUUAAGCCAAAUGUUAUUAUUAAUAUAUUACUUAAGUGUAUUCUUUUGUGCUGACAUUCUUAACUAGCUAGAUAUGAAAUAUGGUAAAAUACAGCCAAGAGCUAUGUCUACUAUUCAAGAGAUACAUCACAAAAGUGAAUGGAAUAUGUUGAAAACAGAACUGUCUGAUUAUGCUUUUAUUAGAAUAUAUAUCCACAAGUAAUGAUUUUUUUAAUGAUUAAUGGUUUAUUCAUUAUGUUAUUUGAUAACCUGGUAAAUUUUUAGUCAAAUAAAAAUGACCCUUAUAUUUUAUAUACAUAUUAACUGUCCAUGUUUAGACAAUUAUAUGUUAAUAAAUAUUUAUAUAUAAUAUAAAUUAACAUAUAUAUUUGGACAAUUGUCUGUGUUUGGACAGUUGUAUAUUAACUGCCCAUGUUUUUGGUUGAAUCUGCAGAUGCGGAAUCGAGGGAUACUAAGGAUCGACUCUAUUGUUAAAAGACUCAUUUAUACAAAUUUAAAUGUGUGCUAUAGCAAAUGCCUUAAUUUUAAGGCUACCAUGUGUAUGUAUACAUGAGGUGCAUCCUAUUUUUUGCUCUUUUUUUUGUAUUUAAAAAUAAACCAUGUUACCUUCUGUUAUUUUCCUUAUGCUUCUGGAAUCAAUUUUCAUAAUUGUAGGGAUACCAAUGUACCAGAAAUGUCUUGGAGUAUUUUAAGCUUUGAGUGUACAGUGGACAUUCAAUCAACAACAAUGCCCACUGUAUACUCAAAGACCCUGUAGGCAUUGUUGUUGAUUGAAAUAAGUUACUGGGAUUGGAAAAGCCAAGUGUAUUGGGCUCCACUUGACUUGAGCUCCUAGGAAUGUAGCACAGCAGAUUGUAUAUGAAUGAUUUGCCUUGAGCCUCAAGUUGAUACUAUAAACAUUACAGUGACAUAUAAUGCAGGAAGAAAGCAGUAUAUCCAUACUAGUUACUUCUAAAAGUCCAGCUUCCUUUCUCCUUGAUGUGAAAUCUAUCCAGGCUUUAUAGAUGUUGAUGCAUCUGGAGGCUAAGCUGAAAGACAUUAAUUGUUCCAAUAAUAAUAGUAUUUGGAACAAAGAACUGUGUUUACGUUUUUGAAAUUUUUUAAUGGAAGCAUUUUCAUGUUGAAGAGGGAGUGACAUUAUAUAUCUGAUAUUUAUGAUAAAGAUUAGCAUUCAAUUUUCUUUUUAGGUUUUAUAUACAGUCAUCUCUCAGUAUCUGUGGGGGAUUUGUUCCAGGAGCUUAUAUGAAUGCUAAAAUCCAGGGAUGCUCAUGUCCCUGAUAAAAAAUGGCCUAGUAUUUUCAUAUAACCUAUGCAUAUUCUUCAAUAUACUUUAAAUCAUCUCUAGAUUGCUUAUAAAACCUAACACAAUGUACACACUGUGCAAAUUGUUGUUAUACUGUAUUGUUUUUUACUUUUAUUAAUUUUUAUUGUUUUUAAGGUAUUUUCUGUUCAUGUUUGAAUCUGCAGAUGCAGAACCCAGGGAUAUUAAGAGCCAACUAUAUUGUUAAAGACUUAUAUAGAUUUAAUCUCAGCAGAUGCAGAGCCCAG
Molecule: long non-coding RNA, 3262 nt
Organism: Sapajus apella (tufted capuchin)
Lineage: Eukaryota; Metazoa; Chordata; Mammalia; Primates; Cebidae
Exons: 3
Source: RefSeq, a predicted model, not a curated record